RNAcentral lists this unclassified non-coding RNA (1152 nucleotides) under Hevea brasiliensis (rubber tree). The record is from RNAcentral. Lineage: Eukaryota; Viridiplantae; Streptophyta; Magnoliopsida; Malpighiales; Euphorbiaceae.
AAAUUUGAAAGGAUAUCCCAGAUUUUGCUCAGCUCUCAACCUCCGGAUAAUCUCACGCAGCGAUGUGGGUGUUUUCGUUUUCAUGAAAUUGAGGAACUUAGCUUGUAGGCAACCUCAUAUUUCGAUGGGAGAUUACAAUGGUGGUAAUUAUGUGGAUAUCAAUGAAGUGCCUUCUCCUAGGUUACAUGACUUUAAGAAAGUAUCAGUUUUACCCCUUGUCUUCCUCAUCUUCUAUGAGGUUUCCGGAGGUCCGUUUGGGGUUGAGGACAGUGUCCAAGCAGCUGGUCCGCUAUUGGCCCUUCUUGGUUUCUUGGUCUUUCCCAUAAUAUGGAGUAUCCCUGAGGCAUUGAUUACAGCUGAGAUGGGCACCAUGUUCCCUGAAAAUGGAGGUUAUGUUGUAUGGGUUUCGUCUGCGUUGGGCCCCUACUGGGGAUUCCAGCAAGGAUGGAUGAAAUGGCUAAGCGGGGUGAUUGAUAAUGCUCUCUACCCAGUUCUUUUUCUUGAUUAUUUGAAGUCUGGAAUUCCAGCUUUAGGCGGUGGCAUCCCAAGAGCUGCAGCAGCUCUAGUCUUGACGUUUGUGCUCACUUACAUGAACUAUAGAGGCUUGACUAUCGUGGGUUGGGCUGCAGUUCUUUUAGGGAUCUUUUCCAUUCUUCCUUUUGUGGUUAUGGGAUUGGUGGCAAUGCCAAAGUUGGAUCCUUCAAGAUGGUUUGUGGUGAAUUUGCGUGAUGUUGACUGGAAUUUGUAUUUGAACACCCUCUUUUGGAAUUUAAAUUACUGGGACUCAAUUAGUACGCUUGCUGGAGAGGUGGAUAACCCAAAGAAAACUCUACCUAAAGCUCUUUUUUAUGCUUUGAUAUUGGUUGUUCUUGGUUAUUUCUUCCCACUUUUGAUUGGCACUGGGGCUGUCCCACUCAAUUGGGAUUUGUGGACUGAUGGAUAUUUCUCUGAUAUUGCUCAAAUGCUUGGAGGAGUUUGGUUAAGAUGGUGGAUCCAAGGAGCUGCAGCUAUGUCAAAUAUGGGAAUGUUUGUAGCUGAGAUGAGCAGUGACUCUUUUCAGCUUUUGGGUAUGGCAGAACGAGGAAUGCUGCCUGAGUUCUUUGCUAAGAGAUCCCGUUAUGGAACACCUCUUAUUGGGAUUUUGUUUUCAGC